Molecule: ribosomal RNA, 498 nt
Filed under: uncultured bacterium
Lineage: Bacteria
Description: partial 16S ribosomal RNA
Rfam family: Bacterial small subunit ribosomal RNA
Source: RNAcentral
GACGAACGCUGGCGGCGUGCCUAAUACAUGCAAGUCGAACGAGAGCGACCGGUGCUUGCACUGGUCAAUCUAGUGGCGAACGGGUGAGUAACACGUGGGUCACCUGCCCCUCAGAGGGGGAUAAUAUCCGGAAACGGCUGCUACAACUGCCUCGGACUUCGAACCGCAUGGUUUGAAGAGGCAAAGAAGCGCAAGCUUCUGCUGAUGGAUGGACCCGCGGUGCAUUAGCUAGUUGGUGAGGUAACGGCUCACCAAGGCCAUGAUGCAUAGCCGACCUGAGAGGGUGAUCAGCCACAUUGGGACUGAGGCACGGCCCAGACUCCUACGGGAGGCAGCAGUAGGGAAUCUUCCGCAAUGGACGCAAGUCUGACGGAGCAACGCCGCGUGAGUGAAGAAGGUUUUCGGAUCGUAAAACUCUGUUGUUAGAGAAGAACAAGUGCUAGAGUAACUGUUAGCGCCUUGACGGUAUCUAACCAGAAAGCCACGGCUAACUACGUG